UGAACGGCUGUCCCGGCUGAGGACGUUUGCCGCUACAGGGGUCUGGCCUACUGAUGCUGGGAAUAGACCAGCCCCUAGGCAAAAGAGAUGGCAUGAGCUCUAUCUUAAGUUAUUCAAACCACGGUUCGGUGGCUCACAUACUGCAACACUGAAGCCCAACCUCAGUAUGGCCAGGAAACCUUCUCAGGUCGUUUCCAGCACUGCCACCACGUCAUCUGGCAGU
Long non-coding RNA from Etheostoma spectabile (orangethroat darter), 223 nucleotides. RefSeq lists it as uncharacterized. The record is from RefSeq and is a predicted model, not a curated record. Lineage: Eukaryota; Metazoa; Chordata; Actinopteri; Perciformes; Percidae. The transcript is spliced from 3 exons.